GACGAACGCUGGCGGCGUGCUUAACACAUGCAAGUCGAACGGAAAGUCCCUGCUUUUGUGGUUUGCUCGAGUGGCGAACGCGUGAGUAACACGUGAGUAACCUGCCCUUGCCUUUGUGAUAACUUCAGGACACUCGGGCUAAUACCGGAUAUGAGCUCCUGCUGCAUUGUGGGCUUUGGAAAUUUUCGGCGUUUGGGUAUGGUCUCGCGGCUUAUCAGAUUCUUGGUGGGGUAGUGGCUUACCAAGGCUUUGACGGGUAGCCGGCCUGAGAGGGUGACCGGCCACAUUGGGACUGAGAUACGGCCCAGACUCCAACGGGAGGCAGCAGUGGGGAAUAUUGAACAAUGGGCGGAAGCCUGAUGCAGAAACGCCGCGUGCGGGAUGACGGCCUUCGGGUUGUAAACCGAGUUCGCCUGUGACGAAGCGUGAGUGACGGUAAUGGGUAAAGAAGCACCGGCUAACUACGUG
This 468-nucleotide ribosomal RNA is filed under the name uncultured bacterium. RNAcentral's name for it is "partial 16S ribosomal RNA". It matches the Rfam family "Bacterial small subunit ribosomal RNA", at positions 28 to 507 of the family's 1533-position model. The record is from RNAcentral.